Molecule: small nucleolar RNA, 135 nt
Filed under: Mustela putorius furo (domestic ferret)
Lineage: Eukaryota; Metazoa; Chordata; Mammalia; Carnivora; Mustelidae
Description: Small nucleolar RNA SNORA73 family (ENSMPUG00000020200.1)
Rfam family: Small nucleolar RNA SNORA73 family
About the family: U17 (SNORA73A and SNORA73B) also known as E1 belongs to the H/ACA class of small nucleolar RNAs (snoRNAs). Vertebrate U17 is intron-encoded and ranges in length from 200-230 nucleotides, longer than most snoRNAs. It is one of the most abundant snoRNAs in human cells and is essential for the cleavage of pre-rRNA within the 5' external transcribed spacer (ETS).
Source: RNAcentral
CUGCCCCGUGAUGUUCAGUCCUUUCCCACAAGGUCAGAGAUUAGAGCUGCAAUGUAGUCUGUACCUGCACAUUCCUAUAGCUUCUCAGAGACCUGUGGACAAUGGCUGAAGAGAUAGGCCAUGCAGGAAACAUCC